This 4492-nucleotide unclassified non-coding RNA is filed under the name Leishmania donovani. RNAcentral's name for it is "gene:LdHU3.08.1550(CDS-product:Putative_intraflag ellar_transport_protein_D4)". Lineage: Eukaryota; Euglenozoa; Kinetoplastea; Trypanosomatida; Trypanosomatidae. The record is from RNAcentral.
AAGCAUCUCUUGACUGCGUGCGCCACACCCACUCCCUUCCCUCCUCCUUCUCUGCUCACCAGCUCCUGGCUGGCCCACCUUGACUCUGUCUGUGCAGGCGAAGAACAUUCAGCUGCCAUCCGCGCGCCAUUCGCUCGACCUCGCCAGGGGGGGGGCAGCUGUUGCCGUGUGUGAGAGAGGGGGAAGGCAGUCGAACCGUAGACGACGGGCCGCUUCCUGUCCGCCUCCAACGUGCUCUGUCUCUCUGAGUGCAUGCGUGCGCGUUGGUUGAGCACUCACACACACAUCACACACACACACACACCGUUGUGGACGGGGCUAUCCCCCUCCUGCAUUCAUCAUUGUAUUUCAGCCCAGCAGCAGCAGCAAGACGGCAAAGGGCAGCGGCAUCAGGAUCGCCUUCCCCUCACCCCCUGCCUAUCCACGCAGAGGCACAUCGGCAGUGUGUGCAGCUCGCCAUGUUCGUGUAUCUCAGCAAGCGCAUCGCCAUGCCCAAUGGCGUGAAGGUGACGUCCAUUGCGUGGAGUGAGGGGCAGGGGUGGCUUGCGUGCGGUGGGGAGAAGGGCCUGCUGAAGGUGCUGAAGGUGGAUGGCGGCCCACAGGGGCAGAGGUCCGGGGGUCUCUCGUCUAGUCAGACGCUAGAGGGGCACGACACCACCGUCGACCUGGUCACGUGGAACCAGCAGUACUGCAAGCUCACAAGCAGCGACGUCAGUGGCCGCAUUAUUGUGUGGAUGCUGCACAAAGGGAUGUGGUUCGAGGAGAUGGUGAACAACCGCAACACCAGCCGUGUGGUCGACUUUGCCUGGAGUCCGUCCGGCACGAAGAUCUGCAUUGCCUACGAGGACGGCGCCGUGAUUGUCGGCGGCGUGGAGGGCAACCGCUACUGGGGUCGUGAGCUGCCCUACAAGCUGGCGAAGGUGUGCUGGAGCGCCGACGGCCACUCCAUCCUCUUCGGUACCGCGACGGGUGACGUCUAUGUGCACGACGCAUCCAGCGGCGCACAGCUUAGCCAGGUCGAGGUCCAGUGCAACGAUGGCAAGGCCUUGUCCCCGCUGGCUGGAUUGUCAUGGCACCCGGCGUGGGUGGAGCGACCGGAGCCGCUGGCGACGCUCGCGAUUUGUUACCAGUCCGGCAAGAUGCAGCUGAUGACCAGCAUCGGUGACGAGACGCCGCGCCUCAUGGACAGCGACUUUCCCGUUCACUUUGUUUCGUGGAAUUCUUCCGGCACGGUUCUCGCUGCGGCCGCGCUCACGCCGGCCACCGCGGAGGACGCGCCCACUGUUGUCACGCAGUUCUUCAGCAACGAGGGCGUUCACCUGCGCACGCUGCGGGUGGCUGGUAAGCAGUGCGGCGGGAUCACGUGGGAGGGUGGCGGCCUGCGCGUCGCCAUUGCCGUGGACUCCUCCGUGUACUUCGCGAAUGUGCGGCCCAGCUACAAGUACUGCUACUUCAAGAAGACGGUCGUCUUUGCCUUCACGAUGCCAGACAAAGUCGAGGAGAGCGUCAUGUUUUGGAAUGUCAACACAAACGAACGCAGGACGAAGAGCGUGCGUGGCUUGCAGUACCUUAGCGCGUGCAAGGAUGCCUGCGUGCUGGUCAGCCGCCCCGACGCUGCGCAGCAGCAGCGGAUGAUCCAGCUGGUGAACGCCAUUGGCAGCCCGUUGGAGACGCGCUUCAUUGACAUGGAGCUGUACACGUACGACAUGAACUCAUCCGUCGUCGUGUGCUGCGGUGAUGAGUCUAUCUACAUCUGGCAGUUCCGCGACCCCGGCACAGCGGUGGACGCGCUCGACCCCGUCUCAAUGCAGGCAAGCCGCGCUGAGAGCCAGGAGCGCGUCAUCCACAUCGGCGACAUCGUCCGCAGCGACACGGCGCCGACGAUGAAGGUGCGCUCGGCUCUCACGAAUGAUCUCAUCUGCGCCAUGUGUGUCAGCGAGACGCACAUGUUCGUUGCUCUCGAGUCGGGCACCCUGCACGUCUAUCAGCUCAGCCCACUGCAGCUCGUCUCCAAGUACAUCCUGCCCACCCGUGCGCAGUCCAUGGCAGUGAACUGCAACUCGACGCAGCUGGCCGUCAUCGACCUCGGCUGCAUCACGAGCGUGUAUUCUAUUGAGCGGGAGAAGUUCUCACUUGUGCCGUGCAAGGCCGAGCCGAUCGACGGGGUGGAGCUGAAAGACGUCUGGAACUUGCGUUGGGCCGUCGACGACCCGCACCGUUUUGCCGUGAUGGAGAAGACGCGCAUGCUCGUGUACAACCACGGCGUCGCGGAGGAGCCGGUGCAGUCGUGCGCGAACCUGUGCAAGUUCAAGUCACUCAAGAUCCGCACUCUGCAGCUGGACGAGCUCCUACUCGACCCGGAGCGGCCCCGCAAAGACUACGUUGUCGACUUUGAGGCGCAGCUGCUGCGCGAGAUGCGGGCCGUGUUGCGCGACGGCACUGCCAAGGAGGCGUACGAGUUUGCCGAGUCGCACAACAUCAAGAAGCUAUGGGAGCUGCUGGCGGAGCACACGCUUUUCCAGCUGGACUUUACCUACGCCGAGGUGGCAUUCAUCCACUGCAAGGACUACCCCGCCAUUCAGUUCGUGAAGCGCGUCCGCAGUCUUGACGACCCGAAGAAGCAGCUGGCCGAGGUGAACGCCUACUACCGCCGCUUCGACGAGGCGGAGCGGCUGUACAAGGACGUGGACCGCAAGGACCUGGCACUGGACCUGCGCUACCGUCUCGGUGACUGGUUCGGCGUCGUACGGCUUGUGCAGGAGGGCGGUGGUGACGAGGCGCUGCUGCUGCAGGCAUGGGAGAACAUCGGCGACCACUACGCGAGCCGGCAGAAGUGGUCCAAAGCAGCGCAGUACUACACGCAGUGCCGCCACUACCGCAAGCUGGCGCAUGUCUUCUACAUCAUCGAGGACUACGAGAUGCUCACCCAGCUCAUCUCCAUGGCGGAGCACGACAAGGAGCUGAUGGUGACCAUGGGCAACAUGCUGCUGACCGUCGGGCUCGCGGAAGAGGCUGCGAAGGCCUUCGUUGCGGCCAGUGAGCCGCGCAUGGCGGUAAACGGCUGCGUGCAGGUGAACAUGUGGGACCGGGCCAUCGCUCUUGCGGAGGAGCACCGACUGGAGGAUGUCGGCCAGCUGCUCGAGAAGUACGCCAAGUACCUCAUCCACCGCGAGCGCCUCACCGAGGCGAUCGAGCUGUACCGCAAGGCAGGCAAGCACGAUGAAGCGGCGACGCUUCUGGCGCAGCUCGGCAAGCGCGCAGCCCUUAGCGACCCGCUCAAGGCGAAGAAGUUCUACGUGCUCUCGGCGCUCGAGGUGCAGAAGUACCGCACCACCGCGAUCGCCCUCAAUCGCGACGGUGUCGAGGUUGUCAGGGAGAUGCUCAACAAGGACCGAAGCACCGUGUCGGAGCGCACGCUCGACGCGGCCUGGCGCGGUGCCGAGGCGUACCACUUUCUGCUCAUGUGCCAGCAGCAGAUUGCAGACAAGAACUUCAAGGCCGCCCUUGUGCUGGCGAUGCGCCUCAUGGAGUACGACGACCUGGUGGCGCCGGUGGACAGCUACAGCCUGAUUGCCUUGACGGCGUACCUUGUGAAGAACUACGGUCUCUGUAGCAAGGCAUUCGCGCGGCUCGAGCAGGCGGAGCGCAACGACGAAGCUGGCGGGGCGGCGGCAGCGGCAACGACACAGUUGGAGAACUUCUCUCUAGACCUCGAUGUGACGCAGCGUACGAUGGCGGGCACGUGCGGCGGGUCCACCGGCGGUGGCACCGGCAUGCUUAGCGGUGGCGGCGGCUCUGCGCUAUCGGGCACCACGACGUCUCUUCAGCUCACGAACCCAGGCAAGGGCGUGACGCGCAUGGCGCCCAUGACGUACCCGACCGUGAGCCUGCGCGACCCGCCGCGCCCCUUUGCCGACCUCGCGAGGCAGAUUUUCAUGACUUACUCGCCGGUGGAUACGUCGGUGGACUCGGUGCCAUGCCCCACGUGCGGCAGCUUCAACAAGGAGUGGGCGCAGCGCUGCAUCAAGUGUCAGCAGCCCUUCAACACGUGCAUGGUGAGCGGCUGCGCCAUCGCAAGCGAGGACGGGGCGUGGCAAUGCCCCGUGUGCCACCGCAAGGCGCUGGAGGCGGUCGUGGACAAGUACCGCAACUGCCCGCUCUGUCACACACCCAAGAAGGGCCGCGCGCGCCGCGGAAUUUGAUCGGAGGCGUGUGUGCGUGCGCGCGGGUUUGUCUUGGCGAUGUAGUAUAGAGAGCCCUAUUCGUGAUGGGUGACGGAGAGAGAGCAUUAAAGACUUUAUAGUGGGCGGUGGCGGGCAUGGGCAGCGCCAGCGGAUGCGUGCCUGCGCGUCUUCUCUACUUUGCCUUCUACUCUCGCUUUUUCCCCUUUCUUCGUUUUCAUUUCGCGUACGCAUUUGUGUCUGUGCCCGCGUGUGCGUGCGGUGUUAGCGCGACGGUGCUGAUAGUGAUGAUGAUGUACUUUUCUUCUUAG